GCGAUUUCCCAUUGCCAGUUCCAUGACUAAGGGCUACAACUUGAAAAGAGGAGGGACGACUUCUGGGCCAAAGAUUGCGUUGCAAGCCGUUGAGUCCUGGGGCUUAAUGAGGUGUCGGAUAGCAAGAGACGUGCCUACUUUGGAGACCUGUUUCUACGGAGGGCCAUCACUCCCGCAGGAAACCUUCUGGAGAUGAUCCUUCUGGUUUAGAGCCUAUGUGAUAAAGCAACUCUCUGAUGGAGAGUUGGAAACCAGCCUGCUUCUGGGGUCAGUCCAGCCUGCGUCAAGGACGUGGACUUGGGCUGGCGGCUCUAACUGAAGCC
Struthio camelus australis is the source of this 323-nucleotide non-coding RNA. The record is from RefSeq and is a predicted model, not a curated record. NCBI's taxonomy places the organism in Eukaryota, Metazoa, Chordata, Aves, Struthioniformes, Struthionidae.